AACGAACGCUGGCGGCAGGCCUAACACAUGCAAGUCGAACGCCCUAGCAAUAGGGAGUGGCGCACGGGUGCGUAACGCGUGGGAAUAUGCCCUUCACUGCGGAAUAACGUUUGGAAACGAACGCUAAUACCACAUAAUGACUCCGGUCCAAAGAUUUAUCGGUGAAGGAUUAGCCCGCGUUAGAUUAGCUAGUUGGUGAGGUAAUGGCUCACCAAGGCGACGAUCUAUAGCUGGUCUGAGAGGAUGAUCAGCCACACUGGGACUGAGACACGGCCCAGACUCCUACGGGAGGCAGCAGUGAGGAAUAUUGGACAAUGGGCGCAAGCCUGAUCCAGCCAUGCCGCGUGAGUGAAGAAGGCCUUCGGUUGUAAGCUCUUUCAGAUGUGAAGAUAAUGACGGUAGCAUCAGAAGAAGCCCCGGCUAAAUUACGUGCCAGCAGCCGCGGUAAU
Molecule: ribosomal RNA, 449 nt
Filed under: uncultured bacterium
Lineage: Bacteria
Description: bacterial SSU rRNA
Rfam family: Bacterial small subunit ribosomal RNA
Source: RNAcentral